AUUGAACGCUGGCGGCAGGCCUAACACAUGCCAGUCGAACGGUAACAGGGAUCAGCUUGCUGAUUCGCUGACGAGUGGCGGACGGGUGAGUAAUGUCUGGGAAACUGCCUGAUGGAGGGGGAUAACUACUGGAAACGGUAGCUAAUACCGCAUAACGUCGCAAGACCAAAGAGGGGGACCUUCGGGCCUCUUGCCAUCGGAUGUGCCCAGAUGGGAUUAGCUAGUAGGUGGGGUAACGGCUCACCUAGGCGACGAUCCCUAGCUGGUCUGAGAGGAUGACCAGCCACACUGGAACUGAGACACGGUCCAGACUCCUACGGGAGGCAGCAGUGGGGAAUAUUGCACAAUGGGCGCAAGCCUGAUGCAGCCAUGCCGCGUGUAUGAAGAAGGCCUUCGGGUUGUAAAGUACUUUCAGCGGGGAGGAAGGGAGUAAAGUUAAGACCUUUGCUCAUUGACGUUACCCGCAGAAGAAGCACCGGCUAACUCCGU
Molecule: ribosomal RNA, 489 nt
Filed under: uncultured bacterium
Lineage: Bacteria
Description: partial 16S ribosomal RNA
Rfam family: Bacterial small subunit ribosomal RNA
Source: RNAcentral